AUACUAUGAUGGUUGCAUGGUUCAGCAGUUUGAAUUCUGAAGAGAAGUAUCUGGUCUGAUGUAAAA
Molecule: small nucleolar RNA, 66 nt
Organism: Oryctolagus cuniculus (rabbit)
Lineage: Eukaryota; Metazoa; Chordata; Mammalia; Lagomorpha; Leporidae
Source: Ensembl